GAUGUCUGGCCGAAUGCAAAAGCAUAACUAUUAUUCCGUCACGUGAAGAGAGAGGAAGUGAAAUUGGGAACAUUUUUCACACGGAGUUUAAAAACAAAGGUGAUACAGGUCCUUCUUUGGAACCAGAGGCAGACGAAACAAGAUCAGGCUCCGGGAGGCAAUGGAUUCAUUUAUGGAAACUUAUCACGUAUUUGGUAUUUCCAUAUCAGAGAGGUAAGUUUUCCUAGUUUUAGCUUCACGCACAUCGCAC
Long non-coding RNA from Lethenteron reissneri (Far Eastern brook lamprey), 250 nucleotides. RefSeq lists it as uncharacterized. Lineage: Eukaryota; Metazoa; Chordata; Hyperoartia; Petromyzontiformes; Petromyzontidae. The record is from RefSeq and is a predicted model, not a curated record.